CCUACGGGUGGCAGCAGUAGGGAAUAUUGCUCAAUGGGGGAAACCCUGAAGCAGCAACGCCGCGUGGAGGAUGAAGGUUUUCGGAUUGUAAACUCCUUUUGUUAGAGAAGAUAAUGACGGUAUCUAACGAAUAAGCACCGGCCAACUCCGUGCAAGCAGCCGCGGUAAUACGGAGGGUGCAAGCGUUACUCGGAAUCACUGGGCGUAACGGGCGCGUAGGCGGGAUAGCAAGUCAGGUGUGAAAUCCGAGGGCUUAACCAUGGAACUGCAUUUGAAACUGUUAAUCUAGAGUAUGGGAGAGGUAGGUGGAAUUCUUGGUGUAGGGGUAAAAUCCGUAGAGAUCAAGAGGAAUACUCAUUGCGAAGGCGACCAGCUAGAACAUAACUGACGCUGAUGCGCGAAAGCGUGGGGAGCAAACAGGAUUAGAUACCCUAGUAGUC
This 440-nucleotide ribosomal RNA is filed under the name uncultured bacterium. RNAcentral's name for it is "partial 16S ribosomal RNA". It matches the Rfam family "Bacterial small subunit ribosomal RNA", at positions 338 to 795 of the family's 1533-position model. The record is from RNAcentral.